Molecule: ribosomal RNA, 274 nt
Filed under: uncultured bacterium
Lineage: Bacteria
Description: partial 16S ribosomal RNA
Rfam family: Bacterial small subunit ribosomal RNA
Source: RNAcentral
AUACGAAGGUCCCAAGCGUUAUUCGGAAUCACUGGGCGUAAAGAGUACGUAGGCGGUUUGGUAAGUCAGGUGUGAAAUCCCGAAGCUCAACUUCGGAACUGCAUCCGAUACUGCCAGACUAGAGUAAUGGAGAGGCAGGUGGAAUUCUCGGUGUAGCAGUGAAAUGCGUGGAUAUCGAGAGGAAGACCAAUGGCGAAGGCAGCCUGCUGGACAUUUACUGACGCUGAGGUACGAAGGCUAGGGGAGCGAAAGGGAUUAGAUACCCCAGUAGUCC